CAGCAGCCGCGGUAAGACAGAGGAUGCAAGCGUUAUCCGGAAUGAUUGGGCGUAAAGCGUCUGUAGGUGGCUUUUCAAGUCCGCCGUCAAAUCCCAGGGCUCAACCCUGGACAGGCGGUGGAAACUACCAAGCUGGAGUACGGUAGAGGGGGAUGGAAUUCCGCGUGUAGCAGUGAAAUGCGUAGAUAUGCGGAGGAACACCGAUGGCGAAGGCAAUCCCCUGGGCCUGUACUGACGCUCAUGCACGAAAGCGUGGGGAGCAAACAGGAUUAGAUACCCCAGUAGUCCCUGUCUCUUAUAC
This 301-nucleotide ribosomal RNA is filed under the name uncultured bacterium. Its description in RNAcentral is "partial 16S ribosomal RNA". It matches the Rfam family "Bacterial small subunit ribosomal RNA", at positions 509 to 807 of the family's 1533-position model. The record is from RNAcentral.